This 483-nucleotide ribosomal RNA is filed under the name uncultured bacterium. RNAcentral's name for it is "bacterial SSU rRNA". It matches the Rfam family "Bacterial small subunit ribosomal RNA", at positions 28 to 524 of the family's 1533-position model. The record is from RNAcentral.
GACGAACGCUGGCGGCGUGCCUAACACAUGCAAGUCGAACGAGGUCCAAGGAAGCUUGCUUCCUGAAGACCUAGUGGCGAACGGGUGAGUAACACGUGAGAAACCUGCCUCGGAGUGGGGAAUAACUCGGGGAAACUCGAGCUAAUACCGCAUACCUUCACAUGAUCGCAUGGUCGAGUGAAGAAAGAAUUUCGCUCUGAGAGGGUCUCGCGGCCUAUCAGCUUGUUGGUGGGGUAACGGCCUACCAAGGCAACGACGGGUAGCUGGUUUGAGAGAACGAUCAGCCACACUGGGACUGAGACACGGCCCAGACUCCUACGGGAGGCAGCAGUGGGGAAUCUUGCGCAAUGGGCGAAAGCCUGACGCAGCAACGCCGCGUGCGGGAUGACGGCCUUCGUGGUUGUAAACCGCUUUCAGCAGGGCGAAAAUGACGGUACCUGCAGAAGAAGCCCCGGCUAACUACGUGCCAGCAGCCGCGGUAAU